AUUCCGGUUGAUCCUGCCGGAGGCCAUUGCUCUUGGGGUCCGAUUUAGCCAUGCUAGUCGCACGGGUUCAGACCCGUGGCAAAUAGCUCAGUAGCACGUGGCCAAACUGCCCUGCGGAUCGGCACACCCUCGGGAAACUGAGGCCAAUUCUGUAUACGGCUCCCGACCUGGAAUGGUGGGAGCCCGAAACGCUCCGGCGCCGGAGGAUGAGGCUGCGGCCGAUUAGGUUGACGGUGGGGUAAUGGCCCACCGUGCCGAUAAUCGGUCUGGGUCAUGAGAGUGAGAACCCAGAGACGGAAUCUGAGACAAGAUUCCGGGCCCUACGGGGCGCAGCAGGCGCGAAACCUUUACACUGCACGCCAGUGCGAUAAGGGGACCCCAGGUGCGCAGGCAUAGUGCCUGCGCUUUUCUGGACUGUAGGGCGGUCCAGGAACAAGGGCUGGGCAAGACCGGUGCCAGCCGCCGCGGUAAUACCGGCAGCCCAAGUGAUGGCCGCUGUUAUUGCGCCUAUAGCGUCCGUAGCUGGCCGCACAAGUCGGUCGGGAAAUCCGCCCGCCCAACGGGC
This 565-nucleotide ribosomal RNA is filed under the name uncultured haloarchaeon. Its description in RNAcentral is "bacterial SSU rRNA". It matches the Rfam family "Archaeal small subunit ribosomal RNA", at positions 1 to 567 of the family's 1478-position model. Lineage: Archaea; Methanobacteriati; Methanobacteriota; Halobacteria; Halobacteriales; Halobacteriaceae. The record is from RNAcentral.